Molecule: ribosomal RNA, 1123 nt
Filed under: uncultured bacterium
Lineage: Bacteria
Description: bacterial SSU rRNA
Rfam family: Bacterial small subunit ribosomal RNA
Source: RNAcentral
AUUGAUUUUAUGCUUGCAUAAAUGAUUUUUGGAUUCGGAGCGAGUGGCGAACUGGUGAGUAACACGUGGGUAACCUGCCCCGAAGCGGGGGAUAACAUUUGGAAACAAGUGCUAAUACCGCAUAAUUAGUUGGAACCGCAUGGUUCCAACUUGAAAGAUGGCUCUGCUAUCACUUUGGGAUGGACCCGCGCCGUAUUAGUUAGUUGGUGAGAUAAAAGCCCACCAAGGCGAUGAUACGUAGCCGACCUGAGAGGGUAAUCGGCCACAUUGGGACUGAGACACGGCCCAGACUCCUACGGGAGGCAGCAGUAGGGAAUCUUCCACAAUGGACGAAAGUCUGAUGGAGCAACGCCGCGUGAGUGAUGAAGGUUUUCGGAUCGUAAAACUCUGUUGUUAAAGAAGAACAAGUGUUAGAGUAACUGUUAACACUUUGACGGUAUUUAACCAGAAAGCCACGGCUAACUACGUGCCAGCAGCCGCGGUAAUACGUAGGUGGCAAGCGUUGUCCGGAUUUAUUGGGCGUAAAGCGAGCGCAGGCGGUUUUGUAAGUCUGCUGUGAAAGCCCUCAGCUCAACUGAGGAAGUGCAGUGGAAACUACAAAACUUGAGUACAGAAGAGGAAAGUGGAACUCCAUGUGUAGCGGUGAAAUGCGUAGAUAUAUGGAAGAACACCAGUGGCGAAGGCGGCUUUCUGGUCUGUUACUGACGCUGAGGCUCGAAAGCAUGGGUAGCGAACAGGAUUAGAUACCCUGGUAGUCCAUGCCGUAAACGAUGAAUACUAGGUGUUGGAGGGUUUCCGCCCUUCAGUGCCGCAGCUAACGCAUUAAGUAUUCCGCCUGGGGAGUACGACCGCAAGGUUGAAACUCAAAGGAAUUGACGGGGGCCCGCACAAGUGGUGGAGCAUGUGGUUUAAUUCGAUGCUACGCGAAGAACCUUACCAGCUCUUGACAUCUUCUGCCAACCCAAGAGAUUGGGCGUUCCCUUCGGGGACAGAAUGACAGGUGGUGCAUGGUUGUCGUCAGCUCGUGUCGUGAGAUGUUGGGUUAAGUCCCGCAACGAGCGCAACCCUUAUUAUUAGUUGCCAGCAUUUAGUUGGGCACUCUAGUGAGACUGCCGGUGAUAAG